UUUUUGAAAAUAAUUUAAAGUCUAAUCUGCCCACUGAUAUUAUAUUAAAGGGCUGCAGUAUUUUGACUGUACAAAGGUAGCAUAAUCAUUAGUCUCUUAAUUGGUGACUUGUAUGAAGGAUUUGAUGAAAUAUAAACUGUCUCAUUUUAAUUUAUUGAAUUUAAUUUUUUAGUUAAAAAGCUAAAAUUUAAUUAAAAGACGAGAAGACCCUAUAGAGUUUAAUAAUUUAAUUAGUUAUUAUUUUAUAUAAUUUUUUUUUUAAAAAUUAAUUAAAUUAUUUUGUUGGGGUGAUAGAAAAAUUUAAUUAACUUUUUAUAAAAAUUAACAUUAAUUUAUGAAUAAAUGAUCCGUAAUUUACGAUUAUAAGAAAAAAUUACCUUAGGGAUAACAGCGUAAUUUUUUUUUUUAGUUCAAAUAAGAAAAAGAGUUUGCGACCUCGAUGUUGGAUUAAGAUAAAAUUUAAAUGCAAAAGUUUAAAAUUUUU
RNAcentral lists this ribosomal RNA (484 nucleotides) under Archon apollinus (false apollo). RNAcentral's name for it is "partial 16S ribosomal RNA". The record is from RNAcentral. Lineage: Eukaryota; Metazoa; Arthropoda; Insecta; Lepidoptera; Papilionidae.